Molecule: ribosomal RNA, 1383 nt
Filed under: Helicobacter pylori
Lineage: Bacteria; Pseudomonadati; Campylobacterota; Epsilonproteobacteria; Campylobacterales; Helicobacteraceae
Description: 16S ribosomal RNA
Rfam family: Bacterial small subunit ribosomal RNA
Source: RNAcentral
AGAGUGAACGCUGGGCGGCGUGCCUAAUACAUGCAAGUCGAACGAUGAAGCUUCUAGCUUGCUAGAGUGCUGAUUAGUGGCGCACGGGUGAGUAACGCAUAGGUCAUGUGCCUCUUAGUUUGGGAUAGCCAUUGGAAACGAUGAUUAAUACCAGAUACUCCCUACGGGGGAAAGAUUUAUCGCUAAGAGAUCAGCCUAUGUCCUAUCAGCUUGUUGGUAAGGUAAUGGCUUACCAAGGCUAUGACGGGUAUCCGGCCUGAGAGGGUGAACGGACACACUGGAACUGAGACACGGUCCAGACUCCUACGGGAGGCAGCAGUAGGGAAUAUUGCUCAAUGGGGGAAACCCUGAAGCAGCAACGCCGCGUGGAGGAUGAAGGUUUUAGGAUUGUAAACUCCUUUUGUUAGAGAAGAUAAUGACGGUAUCUAACGAAUAAGCACCGGCUAACUCCGUGCCAGCAGCCGCGGUAAUACGGAGGGUGCAAGCGUUACUCGGAAUCACUGGGCGUAAAGAGCGCGUAGGCGGGAUAGUCAGUCAGGUGUGAAAUCCUAUGGCUUAACCAUAGAACUGCAUUUGAAACUACUAUUCUAGAGUGUGGGAGAGGUAGGUGGAAUUCUUGGUGUAGGGGUAAAAUCCGUAGAGAUCAAGAGGAAURCUCAUKGCGAAGGCGACCUGCUGGAACAUUACUGACGCUGAUUGCGCGAAAGCGUGGGGAGCAAACAGGAUUAGAUACCCUGGUAGUCCACGCCCUAAACGAUGGAUGCUAGUUGUUGGAGGGCUUAGUCUCUCCAGUAAUGCAGCUAACGCAUUAAGCAUCCCGCCUGGGGAGUACGGUCGCAAGAUUAAAACUCAAAGGAAUAGACGGGGACCCGCACAAGCGGUGGAGCAUGUGGUUUAAUUCGAAGAUACACGAAGAACCUUACCUAGGCUUGACAUUGAGAGAAUCCGCUAGAAAUAGUGGAGUGUCUGGCUUGCUAGACCUUGAAAACAGGUGCUGCACGGCUGUCGUCAGCUCGUGUCGUGAGAUGUUGGGUUAAGUCCCGCAACGAGCGCAACCCCCUUUCUUAGUUGCUAACAGGUCAUGCUGAGAACUCUAAGGAUACUGCCUCCGUAAGGAGGAGGAAGGUGGGGACGACGUCAAGUCAUCAUGGCCCUUACGCCUAGGGCUACACACGUGCUACAAUGGGGUGCACAAAGAGAAGCAAUACUGCGAAGUGGAGCCAAUCUUCAAAACACCUCUCAGUUCGGAUUGUAGGCUGCAACUCGCCUGCAUGAAGCUGGAAUCGCUAGUAAUCGCAAAUCAGCCAUGUUGCGGUGAAUACGUUCCCGGGUCUUGUACUCACCGCCCGUAACACCAUGGAASUUGUGUUUGCCUUAAGUCAG